AUUGAACGCUGGCGGCAGGCCUAACACAUGCAAGUCGAGCGGAUGAAGGGAGCUUGCUCCUGGAUUCAGCGGCGGACGGGUGAGUAAUGCCUAGGAAUCUGCCUGGAAGUGGGGGAUAACGUCCGGAAACGGGCGCUAAUACCGCAUACGUCUUGAGGGAGAAAGUGGGGGAUCUUCGGACCUCACGCUAUCAGAUGAGCCUAGGUCUGAUUAGCUAGUUGGUGGGGUAAAGGCCUACCAAGGCGACGAUCCGUAACUGGUCUGAGAGGAUGAUCAGUCACACUGGAACUGAGACACGGUCGAGACUCCUGCGGGAGGCAACAGUGGGGAAUAUUGGACAAUGGAGGAGAGCCUGAUCCAGCCAUGCCGCGUGUGUGAAGAAGGUCUUCGGAUUGUAAAGCACUUUAAGUUGGGAGGAAGUGCAGUAAGUUAAUACCUUGCUGUUUUGACGGUACCAACAGAAUAAGCACCGGCUAACUUCGUG
RNAcentral lists this ribosomal RNA (484 nucleotides) under uncultured bacterium. RNAcentral's name for it is "partial 16S ribosomal RNA". It matches the Rfam family "Bacterial small subunit ribosomal RNA", at positions 30 to 507 of the family's 1533-position model. The record is from RNAcentral.